CGCGGCCUAUCAGCUUGUUGGUGAGGUAAUGGCUCACCAAGGCGACGACGGGUAGCCGGCCUGAGAGGGCGACCGGCCACACUGGGACUGAGACACGGCCCAGACUCCUACGGGAGGCAGCAGUGGGGAAUAUUGGGCAAUGGAGGAAACUCUGACCCAGCGACGCCGCGUGAGGGAUGAAGGCCUUCGGGUUGUAAACCUCUUUCAGCAGGGAAUAAGCGAAAGUGAAGGUACCUGCAGAAGAAGCACCGGCUAACUAUGUGCCAGCAGCCGCGGUAAUACAUAGGGUGCAAGCGUUGUCCGGAAUUAUUGGGCGUAAAGAGCUCGUAGGUGGUCGAUCACGUCGGAUGUGAAAAUCUGAGGCUUAACCUCAGACCUGCAUUCGAUACGGGUUGACUAGAGUGUGGUAGGGGAGACUGGAAUUCCUGGUGUAGCGGUGGAAUGCGCAGAUAUCAGGAGGAACACCGGUGGCGAAGGCGGAUCUCUGGGCCAUUACUGACGCUGAGGAGCGAAAGCGUGGGGAGCGAACAGGAUUAGAUACCCUGGUAGUCCACGCCGUAAACGUUGGGAACUAGGUGUUGGCGACAUUCCACGUCGUCGGUGCCGCAGCUAACGCAUUAAGCUCCCCGCCUGGGGAGUACGG
Molecule: ribosomal RNA, 643 nt
Filed under: uncultured Actinomycetes bacterium
Lineage: Bacteria; Bacillati; Actinomycetota; Actinomycetes
Description: bacterial SSU rRNA
Rfam family: Bacterial small subunit ribosomal RNA
Source: RNAcentral